UACGAAGGGGGCUAGCGUUGCUCGGAUUUACUGGGCGUAAAGGGCGCGUAGGCGGAUUUCUAAGUCGGGGGUGAAAGCCCAGGGCUCAACCCUGGAAUUGCCUUCGAUACUGGAAGUCUUGAGUACGGGAGAGGUGAGUGGAACUCCGAGUGUAGAGGUGAAAUCGUAGAUAUUCGGAAGAACACCAGUGGCGAAGGCGACUCACUGGCCCGUUACUGACGCUGAGGCGCG
This 231-nucleotide ribosomal RNA is filed under the name uncultured bacterium. RNAcentral's name for it is "partial 16S ribosomal RNA". It matches the Rfam family "Bacterial small subunit ribosomal RNA", at positions 524 to 755 of the family's 1533-position model. The record is from RNAcentral.